UAAUUAAAAGAGAGAGAGGGGGUGGGGUAGCGAGCUCCUCUGAGGAAUGAUGGGGUGAUGUGGCAGUAGCGCGUCUCAGGGGACCCGUGCCUAAAGGCUCAAGUUAGAAUCGAUGGACUAUAGUACAUGGUUAAUUAAAGACGUAUUAAAAGCUUCUUUUACUGCUAUGCUUUUAACUUAUUUUUAUAUCAUUGAAGUUCGAUCUCGCGUAAUUGUCACGUAACUAUAUAAUGACCACAGGUUUUUGCCUACAGCAAAAUAUCAGUAAAUUACCUCUUGAAAUUCGUUAAAUAAUGAUUAACUAGAUCCUUUGGAAAUCGGGAGAAAUUACGGUCCCUCGUUUCACUUCGAACUGCUGAAUGCUGGAGCACUUCGGUGCUGUGUGCAAUUUUCCCAUCAUGGCAGUAUACAUAACUACCAUAUUUUUUUAAUGAGUUAUAUAUGCCUUGUGUGACAAAAACGUUUGAGAACCACUCAGCUAGACUAUGGGCUAUGGAUACUUGCUAGCUGGCUAAAGAGUCCUCUGCUUCACCAACCAGAGCUAACUGACAAUGUAAAGGCAGCGGUAGUCUCCCGUCAUGACUCAUCUGCAGUUACAGCAACAACAAGAAGUAAUUUUUCCUCCAUCUGCUCUUGCCUUGCAGGCUGCAACUCAUUGCCCUGGUCCCCCUUCCCCUUUUUGUUUAAGCUGUUUAUAUCCAUAGCCUCAGACUCAGGUCUGGCUCGCAACUACUAAUCAACAAGCUCUCUCGCUCACACGUGUGCGCGGGCCAGGAUACACACCUUGACUGUCGCCUGGUACCACUGGCACUGCCUGACUGCAGCCUGACUGAUGCAUGACCGACUGGCGAGUGGUGAAUGGCCGUGAAUACGUGAUAAGAACGUGAACCGGACGGGAACAAACCGUAUGAGAUCUAUGAAAUCUAAUUUCUUGUACAAACAGCUUAACAAGAGUUAACAGUCUGUAUUGGCCUUGCUGGGACUAUUCUUAAAAAAAACUGAGAUCCGGGCUAUUUAUAAAACAUUCGGGGCUAUAGCCCCGAAAGCCUAGGCCUAACUACGCCACUGAUAUCCAGACUAUUUUCAAAGAAGUAUAUCACAAAUGUUUAAUGAGCAUUGCUGCAAAAAUUGGCCACCUGUCCAUUUCUUGUCACCUACUUAAACAACCGCUCUCUGUUGUCAUGUAUAUCUUAUUAACCUUCAAGACUCCUUAAGGCACACAACGAGGUCAAAGUGUCAUAUUACUCCAAUCGUCAUGAAACUUUUAUGGUUUGAGUGCAGUACUUUACUGAUCAUUCACCUACAAUAUCAAGUUGAUAUCUUAAAAGAAAAAAAAAUCACUUUUUAUGUCAAUUUACUACCCAUUUAAAAUGGGGUGAGUUUCUGUGUUUUUAAUCCGAUUUUUGUUUUCUUUAUAUAGCAUUAAAGAAUGAACAUUCCUCUACUUCUCCAAGUUAGAUAAUCCAUGGAUUCGAAAAAUAAUAGUACUUAUGAAUUUUUUGUUAAUGUACUCAUUUUCCACUAUUUUUAAUGUUUCCAUCCUCCUUGUGACCAACCAAUACAAUCUAGAAGGAAAAUCUAACUACCAAAUGUUGCUGUUUUACUACUCUAUCCAAAACUGCAAACAGAUUUAAGAUCGGUUAAAAACUUUCAAAUCUCAGGAAUUUUGAGGUUAAGGCAAUGCACUUUUGAGAUACGGGCAUUUAAAGUUACGUAAGUACAUACUGAUGUUCCUCGUCCAUGAAUGGCCACACUAUGCCGAAUAUUGUUAGUACCAGGUAUUGUAAUGUUGCUGUCUUGUUAUUUAGGUGAUCUUGAGUCAUGAACAUGGCACCUGAACCCACUUCUUGUUGAAGUAUUACUCACUCAAAGGUGAGGAUGUCAGGGAGCCGCCGACUCCCUCAUUGUUGCCAGUUUUUGUUUGCAUCACUUGGUGUAAGAAACUAUCUGGCUCGUAGGAUUUGCUUCCUUCCUUUUCUGUUUUAAUCGUCUUUCUUGGUUAUGAUGAUCUGUCAGAAGCUCUGUCUUUCCUUGUCUUGUAUUCGUUUUCAUACUUUUUGUUUUUAUGUUGUAUGGUGAGAUGGGCUCUUAUCUCUUGAAACUGAAGUAGAAGGCUGUGGUAAUGGUGGUGUUGAUGCAGAAGCAUCAGGAACAGCAGUCGUGGCAGCAGGGAGCGAGUGAGAAGUGGUGGCGAGUCAAGCCUCCCUGCUCCGUGUGGAACGCCUGUCUGUCUCUCUUCAUUAUCUACUCGACCAUGGCGUGCCUUCUUCAAGCAGGCAAUCCUCUUGACAAAGGCAGCCUUUCUUCUUGGCAUUUGGACUGGAUGAAGCCAGUAUCAUCAGUAAUUUUGUCAUAAGAGGAAAAAAAAGGCAGUGUGGGGGUAGAGCGUACACACCUAUGUCCAUCCUCUGCGUCACAAGGACACGCACUAAUGAAUUCUAGUGAGACCUACGAGAGAGUAUUGUCCCGCGCGCACAGAAGAAAGUAUCAGACACCACCAGAGAGAAAACUAUUCGUGUCUAAAUACUAGUGUUUUUCCUACAAUUUUUUUUCUAAAGGUAUCAUCUGCCUCACGUGACCUUGACUGAGCGCGCGGGGUGAUUUAAACGGCGAUUUAAAUGCCUAUUUAAACUCGGUCGGUAAAAAUUCUUCCCGUAAUGUUUUCUCUAUGCCUUUAGGGUGACCAUUGACGAAAUUUCUCAUUUUCGAUAAUUUUUGCAUUUUUCACCUGAGUCGUUUGCCUUAAAAACCAAAGAAGAGAAUGUAGAAAUCAAAACAAGUGUGAAAAUAGCCAUGUAAUGUGUGUGGGAACCCUCACUACCGAGGGCAGCGGAGUAACCAAUUCCGAUGAAAUGUGGAGACACAGGGAGGUCAAGGGGGGCGAGGCCCCUCCAUUAGGAGGUUAAUGUGUAUUGACCUGUCUUUUAGUUGCCCUAAGAAGGGCUGGGGGGAAUGAAGCCCCCUAUUGGAUUUUAGCUGUGGUGAGCCGCAGGUUUCAGAUGCCACUGGACGUUGCGAGCUGCCUGCAGCUGCUUGGGUUCCCACACACAUUUCAUGGCAAUUCUAAUAUUUAAAGAAUAAAAUAACAUAAAACACUAAAAACUGCUUUAGUUUAAGGUACUUGUGUGUUUUUGUUUUCACUCGAUUUACGCGAGUUUGGUUUACGUGUUUUUUUAAAUAACGCGGGGUCCAAAAUCCAAAUAAAUGUCUAAUUUACAUGUUUUUUUCACUUAUACACGAUAUUUUGUGAAGUUGCCACCAGACGUCUCACGCAACUGGACUCACACGGCGCCGUGGCCACACAGCUGAGUUCAGUUCUUCCCGCGCACCACUUGAACAACAAUACAGUACCCACGCUGCCACGCUACUCAACAAUAGGGGUGGGCAGGUAACGGUACCAGCUCUCUCUUUCUCUCUCUCUCUCUCUCUCUCUCUCUCUCCACUGAAUGAAGUGAAUAUUAAUUUUUCAAUAGAAAUCUACCUCUUGUUUGAUUUACGCGACCUCUUCAAGGACACAAUAUUCGCGUAUAUCGAGUUACCUGUAUUCAUCUCAGUCUCUUCAAUCCGAGGCCACACAUAGCUAUAGCAUAUGGUACCGGUACCAAUACUAUCCAGUCGCUCAUGGUGUCCCUCAUUUCUUCCUCACACGAGUGAGGCUGAGACCGAGUGCCUGAGUGGAUAUCUCGGUGAUAUGGAUAUUCUCUCUCUCUCUCUCUCUCUCUCUCUCUCUCUCUCUCUCUCUCUCUCUCUCUCUCCACUGAAUGAAGUGAAUAUUAAUUUUUCAAUAGAAAUCUACCUCUUGUUUGAUUUACGCGACCUCUUCAAGGACACACUAUUCGCGUAUAUCGAGUUAACUGUAUUCAUCUCAGUCUCUUCAAUCCGAGGCCACACAUAGCUAUAGCAUAUGCCGCAAAACUUGCUUCUGAACACUAAAAAAUUCAAAUGAUCUUUGUUGAAUUAUAUUUUGUUCUUGUGCUUUAGUUUAGGAUAUUUUGUUGACAUUAAUCACUUUUUAAGCAUUUAAGUAAAACAUCUAAAAUUAGUUUUGUAUACUGAUUUUCCUACAGAACACAUAGGACUAACAUGAUGCUGAUGAUGGUGGUGGUGACAAUGCAAAUGCGGCUUAUGGAGGUGGGAGAGUCUACAGUGCUGUGCCUCCACCAUUCCCUGUCAAAUACGAUAAGGUGAAGGAAAGAGAGAGACAGGAGCACAUCCUGCACAAGCUGGCACUCUCUUGGGUUAGGAGACAGCUUCGUGAAGGAAGCCGCUAACCAAAACCCACCCGGUUACCCUGACAUGGGGGAGAAGGACUGCAUGGAUUCCUCCAACAGAGAAGAAGAGAACAUUUGCUCAACAUCAAGCAGGGGAGUAAGCAGGUGUCAGGAUUAUUACUCAGCUACUCUAGAUGGCCCAAGAUAAAGCAAGUCAAACUGACAAAAUUUGUGGGGCUAAAGUGAGUUACUAAUAUAAUGGGGCUAGGUUACAAAUGUUUCUACAGGUUAAUUAAUAUCAUAGAUAGAUUACAUUAGGUUGGUCAGUUAAUAAGUAUUUCUUUGAUAGUCACUGUGCCUACUCCUUUCUGGGGGAAAAAAGGGUAUCAAUAUACUAUCAAAUGAUUUACUCUGCUGUUUGUCAUUUCUUCUGAUAUCUUUUGGUAUGUUAUUCAUCAACUUGUGCCAUCACUGAGUAGAAAUUGUUAAGCAAAUAUUUUAGGGUCAAUAAUAAAGUUCUUUGCAAUUUAAUUUAUUAUUCACCAAAAUAAAUCGUUGCACCCAUUAAAACAUUCAUUUUUUUCUGAUCACGAUCAGUUACUAUAAUCUUCCAUUCAGUGGCAUAUCUAGGAUUUUUCCUACAGGGGGCAAACACUUGAAAAAUUUCCCCAAAACAUUUGGCACCAGAAGUAGCGCUCUUGAAUGUUAAAUUCUACCAGAAAAAAAGGAAGGAGGAAGGGAAGGUUGAGUUAGAGGAAGGGGAAGGAAAAAAGGAGGAAGGGAAGGGAGGAAGGGAAGGGAAGGGAAGGGAGGAAGGGAAGGUUGACUUAGGGAAGGGAAAGGAAGAAAGGAGGAAGGGAAGGGAAGGAAAGGUUGAGUUAGGGGAAGGGGAAGGAAGAAAUUGGGAAGGGAAGGGAAGGUUGACUUAGGAAGGAGAAGGGAAGAAAGGAAGAAGGGGAGUUUAAGUUAGGGGAAGGGGAAGGAAGAAAGGAGAGAGGGAAGGUUGACUUAGGGGAAGGAGAAGGAAAAAAGAAGGAAGGGAAGGUUGAGUUAAGGGAAGGGGAAGGAAGAAAGGAGGAAGGGAAGGUUAAGGGAAGGGGAAGGAAGAAAGGAGGAAGGGAAGGUUGAGUUAAGGGAAGGGGAAGGAAGAAAGGAGGAAGGGAAGGUUGAGUUAGGGGAAGGGGAAGGAAGAAAGGAGGAAGGGAAGGUUGAGUUAGGGGAAGGGGAAGGAAGAAAGGAGGAAGGGAAGGUUGAGUUAGGGGAAGGGGAAGGAAGAAAGGAGGAAGGGAAGGGGAAGGGAGGAAGGGAAGGUUGAGUUAGGGGAAGGGGAAGGAAGAAAGGAGGAAGGGAAGGGAAAGGAAAGUUGAGUUAGGGGAAGGGGAAGGAAGAAAGGAGGAAGGGAAGGGAAGGGAAGGUUGAGUUAGGGGAAGGGGAAGGAAGAAAGGAGGAAGGGAAGGGAAGGGAAGGUUGAGUUAGGGGAAGGGGAAGGAAGAAAGGAGGAAGGGAAGGGAAGGGAAGGUUGAGUUAGGGGAAGGGGAAGGAAGAAAGGAGGAAGGGAAGGGAAGGGAAGGUUGAGUUAGGGGAAGGGGAAGGAAGAAAGGAGGAAGGGAAGGGAAGGGAAGGGAAGGUUGAGUUAGGGGAAGGGGAAGGAAGAAAGGAGGAAGGGAAGGGAAGGGAAGGUUGAGUUAGGGGAAGGGGAAGGAAGAAAGGAGGAAGGGAAGGGAAGGGAAGGUUGAGUUAGGGGAAGGGGAAGGAAGAAAGGAGGAAGGGAAGGGAAGGGAAGGUUGAGUUAGGGGAAGGAAGAAAGGAGGAAUGGAAGGAAAGGGAAGGUUGAGUUAGGGGAAGGGGAAGGAAGAAAGGAGGAAGGGAAGGGAAAGGAAGGUUGAGUUAGGGGAAGGGGAAGGAAGAAAGGAGGAAGGGAAGGGAGGGUUGAGUUAGGGGAAGGGGAAGGAAGAAAGGAGGAAGGGAAGGGAAGGGAAGGUUGAGUUAGGGGAAGGGAAAGGAAGAAAACAGUGUUUAGAAGUUAUGUCAAAAAGAGCAAUCAAAAUCUGUUCCAGCAUUCCCCAAAAAUUUCCACAUAAAUUUCCCAGGGGGGGGCAGUCUGACCCCCCCUGCCCCCACCUCUGGCUACGUCACUGCUUCCAAUGUUUGCUCUUCUCACAAGAAAGGAGAGGAAGUCUAUGUUUACUAAAGUCUAUCCAUUACAUGCUGAUGCAGCUUAUGAACUGUCACAAACUAUAAUAGUUAUAAUACAACUUUUGCACCAUCACUGUGAAGCAGAGGAAGUCUAAUUCCCACCACAGCACAAAGCUUAUCCUAUUAACUCAGAGGUAAGUAGUAGAGGAAGUCUCAGUUUGCUAACUAGUUAACACCAUGGUAGGCUUUGUUGAUAAUGACACCCACUGGAAAAAAAAUUCAUGCAGCUUUUCACUUCUCGUUACCACAUUUCAUUGCUAUAUUCACACUUAUUUUGCUUUCUACAUUCUAUUCCAUGGCUUUUCGAAAGUCUUGAGAGCUAGUAAGUCACAUGACAACAGAAGCAGUUGGUCGAGUAGGAAACAAGGGAAGAGUGCAUAAAGUAAAUCAACCCAGCAGCUUUCAUAGUUGCAAAGGUGAUGCCGGGGCACCUGUGUUCCACCUGGGUGGCCAACACUAUUGACUCUUCGUUGCAACAAUUCGGCUUCCUUGUGAAGGCAGCUGGCGUGGCAGGAAGACAGGGCCUGAUGGGAGCACCGCACGGGGCGGGGAAUGUGGCGAGCCAGAGGUUGGGCUUGUUGAUGUCAGUAAGUUGUCGACAAGCAAGGAUAAUACAUAUCAUCCUAAACAAUCAAGCUAAUAUGUUUGUAAAUAAGCUUAUUAAUGCCAUAAGAUCUUAAAUCUUUGUCGUAUAGGCUUCGUUAAGAAGCUGUAACCAAAAACAACCAAGCUGCGACAUGGCAAAAGUAUUGCCGCUCGUGCUUUUACAUGAGAGAAGAAUCCAGCUCCUAGCAUUAAAGUUAAAAGCUACUGCUAGAAGGAAAACAGCUUCUAGAAGCACUUCUAAAAGUACUGCUAGCAGUCUUUAUUACUACCGCCCCAGGUGUGGGUACAAGUAAUGGCCCUUGCCAAGCACACCCAGACCCAGAACACUUUGCCAACAGUGACUGGGGAAGAGCACCACACCCAGCAUGAAGAGUGUCAGGCAAACCAGGCCACCAGCCCUGGUGUGGGUACAAGUAAUGGCCCUUGCCAGGCACACCCAUACCCAGAACACUUUGCCAACAGUGACUAGGGAAGAGCACCACACCCAGAACUUUCCUCUUAAAUUUUUAAAAUUGUAUACACUCUGCAACCAGCCCUGGAUUCCCUAUCUGGGCCAUGUGUUGUUUUCCAUGCAAGACAAUGCCCCCUCCAGCACCUCCUCUUUCCCACACACAGCAGCACAACACAGCACCUCAGAGGUGAGUCUUCAUGUGUCUCACAAUCUCACCUCAUGUCAUAAAUUGCUUGCCACAAGCAUCACAUUGGAACCCUUUGUGGCCACAGUGUCUUAAGCUAUGUCUCUUCAGCCAUGACUUCACAAGGAAUCUUUUCCCACAAACUUCACAUUCAUGUUUUUUUUUUCACUAGUGUGUGUACGGGUGUGUCUCUGGAGGUUACUCUUCUGAGUGAAGCUUUUCCCACAAACUUCACAUUCAUGUUUUUUUUCACCAGUGUGUGUAAGGGUGUGUGUCUGGAGGUUACACUUCAGAUUAAAUCUUUUCUCACAAAAUUCACAUUCAUGGUUUCUUUCACCAGUGUGUGUAAGGGUGUGUGUCUGGAGGUUACCCUUUCGAGUGAAAGUUUUCCCACAAACUUCACAUUUAUGGUUCCUUUCACCAGUGUGUGUAAGGGUGUGUUUCUUGAGGUCACCCUUCUGAUAGAAACUUUUCCCACAAACUUCACAUUCAUGUUUCUUUUCACCAGUGUGUGUAAGGGUGUGAGUCUGGAGGGUACCCUUUUGAAUAAAUUUUUUCCCACAAACUUCACAUCCAUGUUUCUUUUCACCAGUGUGUGUAAGGGUGUGUGUCUGGAGGGAACCCUUCUGAAUAAAUUUUUUCCCACAAACUUCACAUUCAUAUUUUCUUUCACCAGUGUGUGUAAGGGUGUGUCUCUUCAGGUCACCCUUCUGAUGGAAACUUUUCCCACAAACUUCACAUUCAUGCUUUUUUUCUCCAGUGUGUGUAAGGGUGUGUGUGUUGAUGUGAUCCUUCCCACCCAAUCUUUUCCUAUAAACUUGAGAUUCAUGAUUUCUUUCACCGGAGUGUGUGAGUGUUUUUCUUGAGGUCACCCUUCCCAGGGAGUCUUUCCUCAUACUCCUGGCACUCAUGGUGUCCCUCAGCAGUGUGUGCAAGGCUGUGUCUAAUGAACGUGCUCUCAGUCCCAAAUUGCCUUACAGUCCUUCCACUCAAACUUUCCCUUUCCUUAUGGCUGGAGAAGGCAGCAGCAGGGUGGUGGUGAUGGUGGUUCUUCUGAUCACCCCUGAUCCUCACACCAGUGGCAGUCUGCUCUGCUGCUCCUGGUCACUCAGGCUACUGCCCAGCCUUGCAGCCGAGGGGGCAGCAAGUCUUCCUCAACGCUACACUCAGGGACCAAGCAAGCAGGUGAGGGGAAGGAUGCCCCAAGGAGCAAGGACAGUGAGUGCUGACCACAGCAAGUGUCUCAGACCCUCACUUCAGCACCAGCGGUGGACGUCAGGGCACACACAUAGUCAGGUGCUGUCUUCUGGCCCUGUGCUGCCCACCUCAGACCCUCACUUCAGCACCAGCACCAGCGGUGGACAUCAGGACACACACACAGUCAGGUGCUGUCUUCUGAUCCUGUGCUGCCCACCUCAGACCCUCACUUCAGCACCAGCACCAGCGGUGGACGUCAGGACACACACACAGAGUCAGGUGCCAUCACUUAGCGCUGUCCUCCUCCCAGCAUGGCGGACACCACUACCUGGUUUGGUACACAAAGACAAACAU
This is a long non-coding RNA of Eriocheir sinensis (Chinese mitten crab), 9199 nucleotides long. RefSeq lists it as uncharacterized. NCBI's taxonomy places the organism in Eukaryota, Metazoa, Arthropoda, Malacostraca, Decapoda, Varunidae. The record is from RefSeq and is a predicted model, not a curated record. The transcript is spliced from 7 exons.